Molecule: small RNA, 181 nt
Filed under: Streptomyces sp.
Lineage: Bacteria; Bacillati; Actinomycetota; Actinomycetes; Kitasatosporales; Streptomycetaceae
Description: c-di-AMP sequence
Rfam family: c-di-AMP riboswitch aptamer (ydaO/yuaA leader)
About the family: This family represents a conserved RNA structure found upstream of the ydaO and yuaA genes in Bacillus subtilis and related genes in other bacteria. The ydaO/yuaA element is thought to act as a genetic "off" switch for the ydaO and yuaA genes in its native state.
Source: RNAcentral
CAUAACCAUCCGCGAACUCAAUUUCGUACGGCAGGAGCGGGGGACCCAGGUAAGUCGCCGGACCGGUCGGCACACGUCGCACCGGAACGGCUAGGGGUGAAGCCGUGCCUUCUCGAAGGCACGGCCGGGCACCUCCCCGCCCGAACCCGACAGCUCACCUCGCAGGCGACGGAGAGGAACU